UAAGCCUACGGGGGGCAGCAGUGAGGAAUAUUGGUCAAUGGGCGCAAGCCUGAACCAGCCAAGUCGCGUGAGGGAUGACGGUCCUAUGGAUUGUAAACCUCUUUUGUCGGGGAGCAAGGCCCGCCACGUGUGGCGGGAAGGAGAGUACCCGAAGAAAAAGCAUCGGCUAACUCCGUGCCAGCAGCCGCGGUAAUACGGAGGAUGCGAGCGUUAUCCGGAUUUAUUGGGUUUAAAGGGUGCGCAGGCGGGCUGUUAAGCCGGCGGGAAAAA
This 270-nucleotide ribosomal RNA is filed under the name uncultured bacterium. RNAcentral's name for it is "partial 16S ribosomal RNA". It matches the Rfam family "Bacterial small subunit ribosomal RNA", at positions 334 to 600 of the family's 1533-position model. The record is from RNAcentral.